UUGUUUCCAGAUGUAAAACUUUAAUCGGAUAUCUCUAUACUUAAAAGAGUACUAGUGGAUUAAGGAUACAAGAGUGCAUCCUAAGUUGCAAUGGUUGUAUCCACGGGAAGAACAAUUAUUGUGUCUACCAGAACCUCCAAUUGAUGCACCAUGUGAAGUCAUGUUGACAUUUUCUUUUCUCUUUGGUAAGGUUAUGGAAUAAAUUUUGUUUCCCCUAGUAUUGUGUUAGUGGUGUAUAUAUUCACUAAACAAGGUUCUUCCAUACCUCUGUUUCCAUAUGCCGCUGCACCAUCAUCCACUGCCAUGUUGAGGUGGUGGAGAUUAGCAGGCAGCAGUCUUUGUGGCGUUGAUGGGGAGGUGUCUUCGCGGUGCUGAUUGGGAGGUUGAGACCUCGUGGAAUCCAUGUUCUCAGGCGGAGGCUAAGUUGGCGAUUUGCCACUGCAGUUGUGAAUCAGCAUAAGAGAUGGCACACUUCCGGUGUAGGUGCCGAGGGCCUCGCUAGAUCCAGAUGGAUUGUUGGAGCCGCAAUCUCGCUCGCCACUCUGCAGGGGUUGUUAAGGUUGAUGGCGAGCCUCUACAGGGUGAUGUAGUGCCAUUUUUUCUUUGAAAAAACUCAGACUUUAUUCAUUUGUAAUAAGUAAUAAGUACAUCAUUUGUGAGGAGCAUUACAAUUUCAUUUAAAGGCUCCUCAAACCAAUCGGAAGUCAAAGAAAAUCUAGCUGGAAAUCAGGGUGAUGUAGUGGCAGAGGAAAGGCUGACGGGACGAAAUGACCCUCCUUGCUUGAUCAGGUUAUGUAUGGUGUACCUGGUGGUGAUGGAGUUGGGCACGGUCUGAAACCGAUCACAUGGAAGAAAUAUGGUUGUGGUGGGGUAGGUACUUCAUCGAUGACGUUUUGCAAGCACCAAGCAGCAUGGUGGCGUGAGCACUAGUGUUGCCGGCGAGCCAUGACAUGUUUAGUCCGACGAGCAGCCGAACGGGGAAGGACGAGGCAGCCAAAGCAUUCACCUCCUAGUGCUGGUGACGGCCGGGGUGCUUGGUACCGGAGCGCCCGGACCAGGGUGUUGCAUUGAGCAUGUGUCGUAUACGUUGACAACGAUGAUGAUCUGACGCAUAGGGGUGGUGCCGAUGGCCACACCCCGUACCUGCGCGGUGUCAGUGAGCACCCAUGUUGGUGUGGUAAUGGUGGAUGCCGUCUCUAUUUGGUAACGCCGAUCAUGAGCAAAAAGAGGGCAAAACGAAGCAGCAAAAGUUAAGGCAAGGGUGUGUGAGGCGAUCCACGCUAUUCUAAUGUUGCUAAUUUAUUCAUAGUUCGUAGCUCCCUCACAUGUUACCUCCGAGCGAAUACACUCGGGAGAAACAUGGAGCCAACAUUUACAUAAGGCAUUACAGCAACCGUUCCUAGCUAAGAUAUGUGCGACCUUAUUCGCUGACCCGCACCCAAGCAACCUUAAAAUCAUCAAAAGACCGAAGCAACCCUUUGAUCUCUUCAAGUAGUUGCCCAUUAGCUGAGAGAUCUUAAUUUCUCUUCUUAAAAUGAUGUGUUAAUGUACAUUAAUAUUUUCAUUUUUUUCACGACAAAAUGAUGGGGACCAUAAUCCGACUAGAUAAGCAUCCGACGAGUGAGGGUCCAGCAUGAGAGGAAAGAUAUCAUCAUGUACGGGUGGUUAAUUAUGUCAACUUUUCUUGAUUUGACAGAAUCAAUAUAUCUAUAUUUUUUUGAGACAAAUCAGUAUAAAGGAUGGUGUGUUUCUCUAACAUUUUGGUCCGUCCACACGGUAGCAGUAAAACUCGUUUCGUUUUAUAUACAGGAAAAAUACUUCAUAUGUUGUCACUCGGCUGGGCCUUCACCUGGGCCGUGUAAGCCGAUUGGCUGGGCCUCCACCUAACGAGCUCAUCACUCGGAUGCCAAAAGACAGAAUUCGUUUAUUAAUUAAUAAUCCUAUUUGAUUCUCAGAAAACUGAUCUAUCUUGCUUUUUUACACAAAUUUCCUGAUUUAUAUCCGCCUAUGAGUAACAAGAAUCAACAAGUUGACCAACCAACACACAAAUGAUAUGGUGUGGGGUGCGUUUACUUGAGAGAAUCGUAGAAAUUAAAUUCAUCUGUGGCUAGAUUAACAAAGAAAUUAAGUUCGUUGGGGACUAACACAUACUCCCUCUGUCUGAAAAAAUUUGUUUUUUAAAUGGAUGUAUCUAGCAUCAAAUUAGAGGUAGAUACAUUCAUUUAAGAAACAAGUUUGGGACAAACUUUUUCGGACAGAGAGAGUAUGUGCCAAUGAAACAUUUCAUGGGAAUCUAACCAGAGAGAAUGCAUGCAUAUAAAUAACUUCAAAGUGGGAAAAGCUAGAAGCAAGAAAAAGCGUGCAUGCCGCAUGCAUAACAAUCGAAGAGGUGCGUGUCCUCGAUGGAGGCAAGCUAGGAGUACAUACAUGAUCCGGUCAACUGCCGCUUCAAAGAGGUGCGACUCUUUAUUUUUGGAUAAAGCAAAGAGGUGCGACUCAAUAAAUCCUUCGGGGGUCCAAACAGGCUGCCAAAUUUAUCUUCAAAAUCAAUUCUUCCUUAGUCAACUAUUAAUCUUUUUUUAUUCUUUAUGAGAAAAACAAGUCUAGAUCUCGGUGUCUGACUACCUGCCGGCUGCCGAAUUUGUGUUUAAAAAUAAUUCUUUUGGAGUCUAAGUGUUGGAUUAUUAAUUCAAUUUUUGUUUUUUACGAGAAAAAAAAGUUCAGAUCUUGGAGUUCUGCCUACAUGUCGUCGUCGAGUGCCACUGUUAGAUAUUGUCAUAACACGCUGAUGAACGUUUUGAUGGAAACGCUAAUUUUCUUUCCCUUUGCAGCACAUAGGUAUGUGUGCUAGUACCGGUAUAAAAAGAUCCGAAGAGGCAGACCUAAAGUCUCGGCCAUCAAACUAUGGCAACAACGACCUACAUUAUUUCAAUGGCGAGUGCUUAACAUGUUUAAUGUGCAAUUAAUACCAUAUACCAAAUAUGAACAUCUAUGUUAAUCACAUAAUUAACACAUACUAGGGUUUAGACACGAUCAAUUUCCUCUUCAAUAUCAACAUAAGGCUGGUUGUAAUGAGGAGUAUUAUAUACUAGUAUCAUGCAUAUGAUACUAGUAUAUGAUACUACCUCCGUAAUGCAUAGUAUCAUAAGUUAGUAUCUUAGGUUGCCUUAUUAAUUGUCAUGCAUGACACAAAUUAGUGCAACAUUUAAUAUGAUACGGUAUCAUGAUAUGAUAGCACAUCCUCUCUUUCGUUAUUUAAUUCUGUGCCACAUCAUCCAAAAAGUCUAUAAGCAUGCAUGAUACCACUUAUGAUACUCCCAUUACGACCAGCUGGUAGAUUAUUAAACUAACUUGUGCUAGAUACAUCCAUUUGAAGGACAAGCUUUUUUGGAUGGAGGGAGUACUAGAUAACUCGAAAACAAAGGAGCUUAUUCUCACCUUAGCUAUGCGACAUAAAAACAUCACUGGCAUAUACUUUCAACGAUAAUAUUGCAAUUCCUUUUUUGUAGGUAGAAUAUAUAAGUUCUUCAUAUAGAUAUGAAAUAUGAAGUUUACUCCUACAUAAGAUAAUCAGUUUUGCUAGAACUCAUCUAGCUGAGUUUUAGUUAUGUCUCAUUCACUUUUAUAGAUUGGAUGUGAUGCUAUAAGAUGCGUGUGUGCUGAUGUGGGUUGGUACUCCUUUUCCAUCUGUUUUGUCUUCUAGGUGAAUGAGACCAAAUUAUAUCUCAUCUAAAUGAGUUCUAGGUACUCCCUAAGAUAAUACUGAUGCAGUACAUGCAAGCAUUGUCAGAGGAGCUAAAAUUGUGGAGGCAAAACCCACGUACAACUAUAGUUACCACUACGGUCAUCCUUCGGGUAGCAACAAUAGUAUCCCCGUGACACGAUCCUUUGUGAGUGGUGCAAGUUGCUUUCACAGCAAUACACAAAACAACUGUCGAGGUCCAACCUCACCAAGUUGCUUGGAUAGUCGUUGUUAGGGGAGUAGUAGAUACAGUUUGCUUCCACUAUGCCGCGCUUGUCCGCGGUCGACACGUGCACCGCCUUGCAGCAUCCUGCCCCCAGGAACAGGGCAUGAUCUCCCAGGUUCACCACCUUUACCCAUACGUAUGAGGGCGAUCCUGUUGUUUUGUUAGGGUUGACGGCGAGUUCGAACACCGUAUUUUUUUUUACCCUUGGAGUGGUUUGAGAUCUCCAAUGCUAUUGCAAGCUUGCCGCAUAGCUCGACGAUAUAGUUGGCAUCCCCGUAGCCGAUGGGUACCAUGGUUACCUGGUCGACUGAGGUGAUCAUCGGUGCGCCGGAUUUGUUCUGCCCGAUGAUGAACCUGUAUAACAUUUUAGUCCACGAAAGACCGUACAGCUCGCCGUUGCAGAAGGCGAUGUCUUUGAGUGUAGGGAAUCCGUGGACCACCCACCCGCACCCUCGUGUGACUAGUAAAAUGCCCGUGCGUUGUCACGGGCUUUUGAAAUAUUUUGCUGGAGCUAUGUAAACAUAAAGCAUGUUAAAUUUCACGUGUAGAGAAUAGAUACCAUGGGCCCAAUCGAGUAACAAUUUAAAUCCACUUCACUUGCAAUGUUAAUUGAUAGAAAAAAGGCAAUUUGACCUUGGAUGCAUAUAGAACGAUUAUCCAACUAAAAAGUUGUUACAAAUUAAGAUCUACUAUUUGAUGCACUUAAGAAAUCUCGCACAAUAUCAGAAAUUUUGUUUUUAUCUUCACUGGCAUGAUAUUCGAGCAAGUAUAAUAAAAACAUUUUCCUGAACUUGUACCCAUUAUGCACAAGCAAUAUAUGCAGUUAGCACAAAUACUUCACGUCAAAGGGAUUAAAAUGUCUAACAGAGAAUACCCAUCGUAGAAACCGGAUGAAGUAAUUCUUUACCAUUUCACCAGAGCAUAAAUAAAUAAUAGCUAGACAAAUCUCGGUAAUUUCCUAAAUUAAUAUUAUUUUGAAUAUAGUGAUAAUAGAAGUAAAAUGUAUUCGUAUGGUCACAAUGCAUGGAAAUUUGAAGGGAGUGCCUUUGCGAUUAACUAACAAGAAAUGUAUGUUUUAGUCGAGCUCGAUUGCCGCUGGUCUUCCUCCAAAUGUUUGUCUUUUUCUUCACCCGUCGAUCCAACCACCUCCGCUACGCCACAAUAGAGAGCAUCUACAUCCGAGCACCACAAACUGUCCCUAUACGCCCGGUCAGAAAAACCGACGCAGACCGAUGACUCAUAACAACCCUAUGGGCAUGGGUUGUCUUGCACCCGUCAUAUCUAACCAAAAUCUGGGGCGGAUAUAGGAAGGCCGCGUCCGCCACAUUAGCCUGGCCCAUGCUAGCCCGCGUCGACCACACUUUGUUCCCACUAAAAUCCCCACCCGGAGCAAACCCUAACUCCACUUCACUUUCAAUCCGCACUCCGUCGAUUCACCUCCACUCCACGUCCAUUCCCCUCCCCCUCUCUGUCCCAAUGUCGACACCGACGGCACCAAAGGUGACAGAUCCGGCAAAAAAGGAUGACUGGGAUGCCUUUGUUCGCGAGGCGGAGGGGGACAAGGAGGAGUGGCCCUCCACAUCGCGCUAUAGCGGUCGUGGGUUGACAUACAAGGCGCCAGCAGCCUCGCCUAUAAACAUACCAAGAGUAAUGUUUCCAAUCAUUAAAUACUUAGUAAAUCCUCAAAUACCAUCUUACAAUCCACCGGAACAUAGUAGCAUCACAUCCUUUCUAUUUCACAGUCCUCGUAUCAUUCUAGAUAUAGGUUUAUGUCAUUGUGUGAGAUUUUCCUAGAUGGAUCACACCAGUAAGCUUAGCUAUUUCCAAUAUCACCAAUCGAACAUAUAAAAAGUGUAUCAACUUACAUAGUAUAAAAAAAUUGGGUCUUCUCAAACUUGCUAUAUCGACCAAAAAUUACCAAUUUGCCCGCUGUUAAGGAAGUAGAAUAAGUGUCACUGGUCCCAGCAGUAUAUUGUUUAUUCUACGUUGUCAGUGCUAGCACGACCAACAUGAUAAAAGUGGCAAAACCCUCUGAGCUUGUCGUUACCACCGGUCCACCGCAACAGCCCAUGCUCUCAAUACUUAGUUCAUCGAGUUGUGUCAUUAACCAUUACUUAGUUCAUGAAAAUACCAACAAUAUUAUGACCUGGAUAUAGUAAAUUAGCAGGCUAACAUAAUACAAAGGUAACAUGAGAUUACCUCAGCAAUAUCUUAAUUAUGUUUUCAUCAAAGAUCUACAUGCUUAAAUUUCUGCAUUCUGAUUAAGAAAAACUAAAGGCUCUUUCUUGAAGUAUUGACACCUGAUCACUCGCCUCAAUUUUUUAUCUUCAAAUUUCCAACUUGGCAUUUGCUUAGUUGUUAUGAUAAUCCUGCUAGUACAACUAUGAAAAAUAGGAAUCACCAUGGUGUUUUCAUUUGAAAGAAAGAAACACCACCAGUCAUGAGGCCCUUAAGGAAUCAUGACAUGACCUGAAUCUGAUUUGCUACAAGAUAUUUGUCCUUCCUCAUAUUCAGAUCAAGUGGGCAAAACUCCAAACGAAACGAUGUACGCAUGAAAGAAACACUAUUUUUGGCAUUUGCUAAAUAAUCAUGGGAGUACAUAGAAAACAGAAGAUGAUUUGGGGCUUCAAGGUCCAGUAGUAUAUAUAUUGCCUUUUGCUUACGUGUUUGAUGUGAACCGCCGAUGAAGAAAAAUGCGACCAUUCCGAAGUACGAUUUGUCGGGUUUGUAAGGGAACUUCGCGUGCCUUACUCAUAAAUUGAAAACCCCAACGAUUGUAAUGGGAGAUGUCCUCCAAAAUAUUACAGGAAUGGACCUUUGAGAAGCUCAGUAGAAACAAAGGUGAAAAGAUGGAGAUGUAGUCACUUCAUUGUCAGACUCAUUAUUAACAAAAACAAAGGUUGGUAAAAAAGAGUGUCUAUCUAUAGUCUCCAAGUCUUUGAUUUACCUGAACAAAGGCUACAGAAAGAAUAUACCAGCACAACACCUAUCUGCAGCAGCUUUCCGCGGAGUUUCUGAAAAUGCAUAGCAGAAGGACAAGCAGAUUGUCAGAUACCAAGCAACUUGUCAUAAUAAUUUGCAUGGGAGUUCAAAAAAUUGUGUGGGAUCUCCAUUGCCUGGGUAACUAAACCAGGAGGUUAAUAUUCCAAACUUCUCUACCAAGCUAUAUCAUUUUGGUAGCUUAUUUUUGCUUUCUAAUUACAUGAUUGACCAGCUAAGAAAUGAUUUAGAGUUAGCUUGUACUAUUUCCUCCAGAAUUGCUCUGUGCAAAUUGAAUCAAUAAUCAAUCAGAAGAAAAAUAUCAGCAAAAUGUGAUUAUUUAGAUGAAACAAGAGGCGGUGGUUGCCAACCUACUCCCAUAAGUUGAGCACCACCAUGCCGGCGUGUACGAUGAGCACGACAGUGCCGACGUUUUGGAGAAAAAGGGUUCUCCAGCCACAUGGACCCACCAACACCAAUUUAUUACAUCAAAGAGGCUAACCAAGUCAACGACCCUGUUGUGUUCUUGGCUCUUGAACUUUUCUCUCUAGCAUUUUGGCGCUUAUAACGUGUUCUUGCUUAUAGUAACUAACCAACUGAAUCAAAAUUCAUUAGUAGUUACCAUUCCCACUGUCUGUAACAAUCAUAGCACAUUUAGCAAUCAAUCGCUAGCAACAAGCAUAACACUGUCUACAACAAGCCUAACAUGCCCACUUUUAAAGGACACAACACUACAGAGCUCACAACAAACAAUUCAUAUUGGGUAGAACUUCACAGUUUAGGUGGCGUCCGACCAACAAACUGCACAUCAACAAAAAUUGGAGCUCACCUUGGUGAUCGGCAGUCAGGGCAUCCACCUUCGCUCGUGGUGCUCGAGAUCGGCGGCCGACGAGUAGGAUAUUAAACACGGCGACCGGGAGGAAGGGUCACGGCUGAGGUUGACGAAGCAGUUUACGGAAGCGGCGUCCGGAGGUUGAAGAUGCAGUCGACGAUGAUGUCUGUGGAUGCAUCAGCUCACAGCCUCAGACUUGACCUCGACGUGCAGCGAUGAGGACCGGCGGGCACCGGUCGCCUUAAGCUUUCCCCCGCCUACUGCACUGGGGACACCUCACUCUCUCGCCAACGCUGGCGCUACCAGCUCAUGUUGCAAGCUCCGCAAUCGACCAACAAUCGUCGCGACAGUCUCCGGUCACCGCCAAUGUCCGGCGGCGUGGGCCCGACGGCGGGGGGCAUCGCGCUGCCAUCGAUGGGGCAGCCGCCCCCGCCGCAACACCUGGAGCCCACCUCGCCCAUGGCGCGCCCGCACCACUACUACUACCUCUUCUCGGGGCAUCUAGGAAAAUAAAUGCAUCCGACAGACUAACAACUUUCAGGAAAUUAGACACAUGACUGGACUGAAUACAUCAAAUCCUUAUCAUUUUAGCUAACCACUUAAUUACCUCCAUUAUCAGUAAUUCAACUACUCACCUUAGAGCUAGUACUGAACUUCAGUGUUUAUUAUGUGCAAUCACAAUCGUAUCAACCAAAGAACCAUUACCACACUACUGUUGACAGCAUGCUUGAUUCGACCACUUGAUGCAUGAGUAAAAGUACUUAGAUGGCUGUGUUUCAAAAAUUUCUCGGUAAACCAAAGGGAUCAGCGAAUGUAACCAAUCAUGGUAGGAAACACAAAUACAAGUAGAGUUCGACACAUCUACUGGUAAAAACUGCAGAUGGAUGCAUUAGAUCCUCUCAUGAUUUUCAGUCUCUGGCAUUUAGUGCUAAACAAACUGCAUUAAAAUUUUAAGGUCAGAAAUUGUUGGAACUUUUAAAACUUGACUUGUUCAGUUCACAGCCUAUCUGUGUAUGAAAGGUGUAACAGUAAUAUAACACGAAGGCCACAUGCAUGAUUUUUCACUGAAAGAAGGAAAAGGUCGACACAUAUAAAUAUAUAUCUCCAAACUUCCUUAUCAAAGAUGAAAAUAAGUAGUUCAUGCAUCCUAAUGCAAUUUAAUUUUUGUUAUUAGCAGCAUAGUAGUGUUUGUUUGACAAUGAAUAUCCUUGCCUCAAUUUGCAACUUGCAAGUGGAUGCAUAUGCAGGAUUGCUAAUUUAGCAAAGCUUGGGCCUCAUACCCGAGGAUUCAGAGAGAAAAGCAACAAGAUAUUGAGCAUCGUAGAACUGGCUCAGUUAUGAGACCAGCCUGGCAAAUUCGUUGAUAGGAAAUUGACAAGCUUCUUCUACCAGUAAUCUAAGGCUGGCUCAGCCUUAGAAUGUACAUGUCUAGUACUCUUCUACUGCAAGGUAUAUUACAUGUCUAGUCAGAGAUAAAACUUGACAAGCUUCUUAUUCUUCUCGUACAAGUUAUAUUACAUGUGUAGUACAGAGAUAAAAUUAUAAAUUCUUUCCAUGAACCAAGACUUCGAAGCAAGCAUGAAUAAAGUAUAGCCAGCACAGAUCAUGUAAUGUUAAUUGUGUCAAGAACUAAAUUUUCCUUGGUUGUGAGCGAGAUUGUCAGCAAAUUAGUUUGAAUUGUACCUGCCACAGUGAACCGCUCCUUAGGAUCGGGGUCAUAGGCCUCAAUCUGUUUGGUAGUCUUAUUGGUGAAGUAGCCCACAGAGAGAUCGUUUUGGGCGAAAUGGAAGGUGUACAGUGUCUUGGAGAAGUACUCGGAUUUGGGUAGGAUCUCAUGAUAAAUUCCACCUGUAGAGCAAAAUAUAAAAAAUUACUGUCGCGUUCUCUGAAAUCUGAAUGAAAAUAUGGAAUAUGACACGCCUUUACUCCUCACCCAUUCUGUUAUACACGAACUGGCUUCUCUUGGUGAAUUGUUCCAACUCCCAGGUCUGCACAUCCAAGUAGAUCGGGCUGUAAAUGAAUGUCCAAAAAAGUAUGAGGCUGUAAUUGGAGAUGAAUAUACCCCAAUUAGAUAGCUGUGACUGAGAGUCUGAGAUAGAUGAUGCACUGACAUAUGUACCGGCCGGCCGGCACCUCCGCGGAGAUUUAAUGAAAGACAUUAGACAUGAUUGCACGGUAUCAGGGAGGGACGAAGCUACAUUACUCUCUCGCCGUGAUUCAAUACUGUCAUACAUGUAGCUCUCUUCUGCUUUGACAUUGACCAAAACUACUGCACCUAAUUACACUGGUCAUACAUGUACGUUCACAUAAAGAAGAGAACGAAGCAUCUCACAAAUUUGACUACAAGAGGAAAAAUACGCCACCGCCAAUCCAACUCGACAUGGCACGAAUUCAUCAUCAGAGCACGUAAAUUUCAUUAGCUGGUACCAUGAACCAAAAUGAUUAAAGAAACCCUGCAUAAGCAUCUCUGAAACAUCCAACAGGAGACAUGUGCACGCAUUAUGUAUUUCAGUACCAAUAUAAUGCAGCACAAAUCUAACUAUGUGAGGAAAUAGACAGGGCUCAAGUGAAAAUCAUCUUACCUGAGCCAAUCUCUCCUGCCUCCUCGCAAUAUUCCUCUCCCUGCUAGCUAGCCUUGCUCUUGGCACGCUUGGCCUCAAACUGGUCAGAGAGGGUCUUCUCUCUUGCCUUCUCAGCCUUGGACUUGUGGAUACUCUCCAUGAGGACCCUCUUGUUCUUGAACAUGUUACCUUGACCUUCAGGUACAUGUCAUGAAACAUGCAAGCAUCUCAACACGCUGCGCGCCAAGGCCGUGCUGGCCUUCUCGACCACCGUGCCGCUCUUGGAGAUCGCCUUCGCCGUCCUGCUCCUCCCCUACCUUCUCCUGGCCACGCUGGCCUUCCCGCAAGCGACCUGGGAAGCCCAACCCGUCCUUGCCCGUCUUCCUCGGCCUCGCGCGCCUCCUCCUCGCCGCGCACACCAUGGGCGGGUUCCUCGUUGGUGCCGCGCUCCCGGCGCUCUACGUCCUCGACGGCCUCCGGUCCGGGGACACCACGGGGAUCGCCGCCGCAGCCCCGCACGUGUUCCUGCUCUCCGCGCAGGUCUUCAUCGAGGGGCUCACCGCCGUGGUCCCGUGGCGGUUCUCGCUCCCCGUCAGGGCCGCCGUACCAGUCAUGUACAACGCGCGCAGGAUGUUCGUGGCAGGGGAGUGGCUCCGGCAGGAGAUGGAGGGGGUGACUGCGGUGACGGGAACGGAAGGGGGCGGAGCGGCAGGAGGCUGGGCGGGUCGAGGAGUUCCCCUGCGGCGGCGGCGGCGUAGGAUACCUAGUGCGCAUCGGACGACGAUUCUGGCGGCUGCUAUUGGCUGAUGGCGAUCACCUUCACGGCUGAGAUGGACCACGCCGAGGAGUGGACUUGGCUGACGGGGACACGAUCUAGGAGGAGCAUGUAGAGGAGGGCUGGGGGAGAGGAGGAUAGAUCGUGUCGUGUGUGUUCUCUUUUUGCCCCAGCGUUCAUCCAGAUUGUGCGUUGUGGACUGGUGGAGGAGGAGCGACAGACAACAAUACUCAGUUAUUUGUUUCCUAAUUAAUGUGGUCGAGCAAUUUAAGGUAAGGUUAAUUAAUUUCGAUUUGAUCUUUAGAGAUUGAUCGUGAUUGAUUCUUUCACAUAAAGACAUUCCUCAAUAACUUGCGCUAGAAUGAAAAGUUUUAAUCCGUUCAGUUUUUUUGUUGUGUGUAAGGGUGACGCGAAACUAAACCGGUGGGGUGGGGGAGGUGACGAAAAAAAAUCAGCAAAAAAAACCGUGGAGACUAUUCACCAACUGGUCUUUAGGAGCGGCAGACAACAAUACUCAGUUAUUUGUUUCCUAAUUAAUGUGAUCGAGCAAUUUAAAUUAAGGUUAAUUAAUUUAGAUUUGGUCUUUAGAGAUUGAUCGUGAUUGAUUCUUUCACAUAAAGACAUUCCUCAAUAACUUGCGCCAGAAUGAAAAGUUCUGAUCCGUUCAGAUUUUUUUGUUGUGUGUGAGGUUGACGCGAAACUAAACCGAUGGGGUGGGGGAGGUGACGAAAAAAAUCAGCGAAAAAAACCGUGAAAACUAUUCACCAACUACUCCAUUAGAAAUAGAGAUCCACCCACCAUCUGCACCACCGUCCUCCAGGCUGCCACACCUAUAAAGACCUAUCAGACCUAUCUUGCACCCUGUGGUGGUUAUCGCGGCAAGGAUGCAGCCUUUUGAGACAGGAUCCUCCGAGAAGAUGAUUUUUUGAACGGAGAUCUUGUGAGGGGCUUGUCUAGCAAAGCAUGUACAUGUAAAGUCCCGAGAGAGCAGCACCCGGCCGCGGACGAAGAGGUUCACGACCACGAUCCGGGAGCCGGUGGCGGCGGCGACCCAGCCACCGUCGUGGGACCCCACGAUCUGGCCUGCACUUGGGGAACCCGGGCAGCGGGGAACGCAGGACCCUGCCGUCCUCCGGGCUGUACGCCCGCGUCAUCCGGUCGCGCCGGCCAUUGGCGGUCGACGGGAGCAACAGCGGGAUAGCCGGUAGCUUCGGGUGCCACAACGCGACGGCACGCCACGACGUGCAGACGGCGGCGAAGCGGGCGCGGUCGUACGCCGAGGCGCACCGGCGGAAGAUCGCCGCGAGGAGGUCCGCGGGGAGCCCUUCGGCGCCCGCCAUGCAUGGAUCUCGAUCGACUCUCGUAAGCGGGAUUGUGUUUCUUCUGGUCAAACCUGCCCUCAAAAGAGGGCGUGUUGGUUGUGUCUUCGGCACGGGAGUAUUAUACUUGAUUAGCUAGGAUCAUUUUUUUGCAAAUAAGAUUAUCUAGGAUCAUAACAGAACGCGCACAAAAAUGCUAGACCUACGGUCGUCCAUUUACGUAAUCAUUAGGAAACCUUCCUUCUUAAAACCCUACGUAAUUCCCGUACAAUGACGUACGUAAGUGUAGCAUUGCUCGAGCGCAGCACGGCACCUGACAAGACGUACGUACAUGUUCGUGUGUACUUACGAUUUGAGAAGUUCUAUCAUGCAUACCGUAUGUGGCACCAGGCACAAAUAAUUUUGUGGACUCAGGGUGGGCCAACGCUGGCAAAUCUGACUUGGCCCACGUCCGGACGCGUCCGAACCCCACCUCAGAUAUGAGCUGGGUAUGCUAUGUUUUCGGAGACCUCCUAAACAACACAUUUGCGCUAGGUUUUUUUAGGGGAUUUGCACUAGUAAGGGGAAGCCGCGCUAAUGGAUAAUGCACGGUUGGACCGGCCCAUUAAAAGCAACUCUUUAUCAAUCGGUCCCUUCACCGGCUCAGUGCCUCGCUCAAACCGGCUUGCAUAGGAUGAGAGUUUGAAUUUUUUAACCACUGACUGUUUGACCCACAACGGUUAACCGUUUGACCCAUUGAUCGCUGACUUCUCAAAGAAUUGGAAAAAAUCAUGAAUUUUAAAAAGUUCAUAAAUUUACAAAGAGUUCAUGAUUUUAAAAAGUUCAGAAUUUUGAAAAAGUUUUCCAAUUGUUAUAAAGUUCACAAGAUUUUUUUUCAUGAAUUUGUAAAAGUACACAUUUUUUAUAAAAAAAGUUAAUGAAUUUGAAAAAACUUUUGUGAAUUAGAGAAAGUUCAACAAUUUGAAUAAAUCCCCGAAUUUGGAAAGAAAAAUAUGAAUUUAAAAAAUAAUUUUUUAUGAAAAUUAAAACAAAACAGGAAGAAACAAAAUACAAAAGAACCGGCCACAAAAAAAACGAUAGAAGAACCGCACUACCGCUAUAGUCCUAAGUGAGCCAGCCCGUUCGGUUGGAGGGUGUGUGCGUUCUGCGUUCCAUGCGCUUAAGGCACCAAACGCCAAAUAAGAUUUGGGUAUUAUGGUCUGCACGUUUAGACAACGUUUAUCUACACUGUUAUUCACUUGAAUUCGUAGAUCAAAGGUUUACGGUUACAAACUCGCUUCGGGUGGGUCUAGUUUUUACAAAAUUUGGAACAUUGUAGGGGCGAACAACACUGUGUCUUUAACAAUGCAUACGAACCGCAUGUGAUCAUUAUUAACCGUAAUCUUUUAACAGUACAGGAAGCGUGACUCAACCAACACAACCACAAGAAGCGACCCCUACAGCGACUUCAACGACGACCAGAAAAGACUACUAAAAACAAAACCUAGAGACCUAGAGGAACAAGGACUCCAAGCACUUGGCUCCCGCUCUGAACUGUUGGUUGACAUCACAAGAAUGUGUCAGUUGAUCUACAUUUGUUACAAACACUCGGUUAUUUCUCUCCUUGCAAAUAGACCAAGCAAGACAUAUGCAACAGUUGAGCUUCUUCCUGUCCUCAGGUCUACUCCGCUUCUGGCGAAUGACCUCCACUCACAAAGGAAGGUGUUGAUGGUAGGAGUGACCGCGGCAAAUCCAGCCUAGGUCAACACCCUGUUCCAAAUGAUAUUAUAGAUGGAACAACCAACUAGAAGAUGAUCUGCAUCUUCUGAGCCACUCGAGCCAAGAACACAAUUGUCAAUAUGGGAGAUACCACGUUUGGCGAGUCCAUCAGCAGUCCAAAUCCCGUUUCUAACCGCAAGGCAGACAAACAACUUACAUCUUAGCGGAGCCCAUGUCGCCCAGAUGGCCCUUGAAACGCGGCGACCCCUCAAACCAGCCUGUGCCUGCGGAGCGAGAAAAGAAAUUACGAUUUUGCUUCCCUGAGAGACCGUGCCUCUUGGAAACGGAAAAAACACAUUUUUUUGCUUUCACGAGAGGCAUGAUUUUAUUUUCACGACUGACGCGGUUUUGUUUUCGCGAGAGGAAUGACCAUGCCUCUCGGAAACGAAAAAACAUGUUUUCAUUUUCUUUUUCCUUUUUUUUGGAACAUAGACGCUAGCAGCGUCCGGCUUUAACUUAAUAAAGCCACUAGGCAGAAUCCACACAUAAAGUCUUACAAGCCAAAUAAAGACAGUCAACGAGCACAUGGCUCAGGAUAUAGCUAAGAAGAUCGCAGCCACAAGUUCAAUAUCACAAAUGCGAAACAUCAAGGCCAAAGCUAGCAAAACGAGGAGGUCUCAUGGUGCAACCAUCAUCCCUUGCCGCGCCUUCACCAUGGUUGUCUUGAUCAGCUCCAUAGUCUCUUUCAUGCGCUCGAUGUCACGCUUCUUCCCCAGCGGUGCCCAUACCUGAAGGAAAAUAUGACAUUUGAAGAUAAUAUCAGCGGGGUGGGCCGGGAACUUGUGUUCAAUCGUAAUUUUGUUUCGAACCGUCCAGAGGGACCAAAGUAGCGCCCCAACGCCUCUCCAAACAAUCCUAGCAUUGGCCCCUCUUUGCGACGUUAAGAUAGACAGCAUGUCGUGACUAGACUGUGGAUUCCAAUUUUGAUUGAAGGCGUCUCGCACCGCACUCCACGCAAAUCUAGCGAGCACACAGCCAAAGAACACAUGGUUCACGUUUUCCCCUAAGCCGCAGGUGGUGCACUUGCCGUCCGCCGGCCCAUUUCGUUUGGCAACGUUAUCCGACGUAGGUAAGCGGUUGCGAAACAUUUGCCAUAGGAAAAUCUUGAUUUUGAGGGGAAUGUCAGCCUUCCAUAGCCCCCUAGCUAUAUCUAGCGUAGUACCCUCGGAUAGCUUGUCAUAUAGGGACUUGACCGUAAAUCUAUUUGAAGCGGUCAACUUCCACGAGAUCGUGUCCGCCCCAUUACUACGGGUCAGCCCUCCCAAGUUAGCCGACAAAGCGUCCCAGCUAGCGGCCUCCAUAGUCUCUAGAUUCCUAAUGAAAGAGAUGGCUGGAGGUUGGACGCGCAAAGCAUCGGCCACCAUAAUGUUGGUGUCCGUUGCCAAUUGGUACAGUUCCGGAUGUGAUUGCCAUAACGGCCCCUGACCCCACCAAUGGUCGAGCCAGAAACGUGUGGACUUGCCAUCGUUUACCCGGAACUGUGCACCCACUAUAAACGCCGGUCGUAUCGCUUGGAUCCCGUUCCAAAAGGCCGAGCCGUUGAUUUUAGCCUUGAACAAAUUCCCCUCCGGGAAAUAUUUAGCUCGGAGGAUGUCUGCCCAGAGCCCCGACUCGUUUUGGGCGAGACGCCACCACCACUUAGUUAGCAGGGCCACGUUCAUGAGUUUAGAGUUCGUAAUACCUAGGCCGCCAAAUUUUUUUGGCCUACACACCGCUGCCCAUUUCACUAAGUGGUACUUGCGCUUGGUCCCAGCUCCUUCCCAAAAGAACCGGGAACGUGGAGUAUCGAGUCUUGCGUGAACCCCAUCCGCCAGUAGGAACAUCCCCAUUGUGAAUAUAGGAAGGGAAGAUAAGCUCGAGUUGGUUAGGAUGAGCCUCGCCGCCGAGGACAUAAACCUACCCCUCCAAGGGCUCACUCUGUUAGCGACUUUCCCAUACAGCGGUUCCCAUUCCGCUAUGGUAAGUUUCUUGGUCGAGAUUGGGAGGCCCAAGUAUUUAAUCGGAAAGCUCCCUAGCUUGCAAUUAAGUAGAUUCGCAAUCCGCGUGCUAGCUAGAUCAUCCAUCCCAAUGGUGAUCACUUCGCUCUUCAGAAAGUUGAUCUUAAGCCCUGAUAAAAUCUCGAACGCAAGUAGAAGUAGCUUGGUGGUAGCUAUGUUGUGGUCGUCGGGUUCGAAUAAGAGCAUCGUAUCGUCUGCGUAUUGCAAAUGCGUGACCCCACCCGGAAUAAGGUGAGCUACGAGCCCUUUAAUGUGCCCCGCUACCCUAGCUUUAUUAAUCAUGGCCGCCAGGGCAUCCGCAACAAAGUUAAAGAUGAGCGGGGAGCUUGGGUCUCCCUGACGGAGACCACGCUUGUUACGAAAGAACUUGCCCAUUAUGCCAUUGAUAUUGACCGCCGUGUGCCCACUACACACGAGGUGCAUGAUGCGAUGUACGAAUCCUGCCUCAAAACCCUUUUUGAGGAGGACUUCUCGCACGAACUCCCAGUUGACGCGAUCGUACGCUUUCUCGAAGUCUAAUUUGAGCAGCACUCCCUGUGCCUUGGUCCGUUUCAACUCGUGAACGAUCUCUUGUAACGCAAUUGGUCCCUCGAGGAUGUUGCGGUGUUUGAGGAAACCCGUUUGACUAGAGCUAAUCACUCGUUGAGCGACCGGAGCCAAGCGCGAGGCAUAAGCUUUCGCACAAAUUUUGAAUGGAACGUUGAUCAAGGUAAUGGGUCUAAAGAGCUUAAUGUUAUCCGCCCCUUUCACCUUAGGAAUAAGGCUAAUGGCUCCAUAGUUCAACCGGGAUAGGUCCACCGUGCCUAAAGCGAAGCCGCUGACAAUAUCGUAAAACAAGUGCUUAAGGCAGGGCCAAAACUUCUUAAAGAACUCUACCGGCCAACCGUCCGGCCCAGGCACCGUGCUCGUUUUCAUGCCGUGUAAGGCCUGGUCUAUUUCCUCAGGAAGGAAAGCAAGGGCUAACCUAUCGUUCUCUUCCUACGACACACGCUCCGCGGUAUCCCACAGAUCACCGCGCAAGCGUAAAGGUUUUUCAACGGCCGUCCCCAAAAGGCCUAUGAAAAACUCGUAGAUAUGAGCCACGAUCUGGUCCUGCGCCAACAGGACACCUUGGUCUGAUUGGAGACGCAGAAUGGUGCAUUUCCUUUUCCGCCCGUUCGCGUAGGCAUGGAAAUAUCCUGUGUUUGCGUCUCCUUUCGUGACCCAUUUGACUCCGCCCCUGCGUCGCCAAUAUUCCUCUUCUGCGCGCAAAAUCGCCGUUACUUGAUUUUCUAAUGCGUACCUAUGUGCCCACUCGGCCUCCGAGAAGGGCCGGCGAUCUGCCUCCAUAUCUAUCAGCGCAAUAGUCUCAACUAUGCGCGCGCGCUCUUUCUUGGACUCGCUAUCAUGGUUAGCGCCCCACCCUCGCAGGAAGGCACGCAGCUUGCCAGCAGCCGCGACCCAGCUCUCUGCUGGACCGCGUUGGGGCCCCAGAUGAGAACAAAUCGCACCCCAACGCUCUACCACCAUCUGGGCAAAUCCCUCUACUUCGAACCAAGCCGUUUCGAAGUAGAACCUAGGGCUACGGCGGAUGAGAUCCUCCCCUGAGGAAAAUAUCAGCGGAACGUGGUCUGAUCCAAUGCGCGUCUCUGCCACGAGGGAGCACAUGGGGAACAACACCUCCCACUCCGGCGUAAAAAAGACCCUAUCCAGCACGCUAUGGACCGGCUGCGUUUGUUUGUUAGUCCAGGUAUAUCUGGCACCAGUCUGUGCUGCUUCCCGCAAUGCUGCUGCCUCAAUGGCAUUAUUGAAUAAGGACACCCUCGUCCAGUCAAUAUUAGCAUUAUUCUUAUCCGCCCCCGAGCGAAUUAAGUUAAAAUCUCCCCCUACCACCAUAGGGAGGUUGAUUGCCCUUUUGGCCCCAACCAGGUUGAUCAGUUCUAGCAGGAACGCUGGCGAUCUGGAGUGGUCGGCAGGCCCAUAGACACAAACGACCACCCACGACAAACCAGAUACACGAUGUUUAAUAGUAGCAGAUAAAAGGAAAACACCAACAUCCCAAUGCAGAACAUCACAUACAUCCUUAUUACAACCCAACAGAAUGCCACCAGAGUGACCGACAGAGGGAACCCAAUGCCAAUCAAAACGUUGUAGAGGGUCAUAAGCAAGCAAUUCUCUGAAGGUAAAAUCAGUUUUAAUCGUCUCUUGUAGCGCUACCACGUCAAUAUGUUCUUUGGCCAUGUAUUCUCUAAGCUGCGUGCGCCGACCACCGUGGCCACAGCCACGGAUAUUCCAGAACAUGUACCUCAUCUAAAUCACCCUGUUACGUAGGCACACACCCCGAGAGGUCACCGCCUUUGCCACUCUCUUCCUAGCCGUCGCUCGGCCAUUAGAAGGAAGGACACCAGCUUCCCUAGCUAGUGUCACCUCGUCGGGCACUCUCUCGUCACCAGCCUCUACUGGCACAAUGGCUAACUCGUUGUUGCUAGCGCAGCGCAUGGCGGCGGCCACCAGCGCAGCCUGCGCCUCUUCCCUAGCAUGCACAAGUGAUAUAAUUUCGGACUGAGACCCUCGGGUCUCCACCCCGCAGUCAUCUAGAAUGCUCACCAGGUGCUCAUCCGAGAAGGCAUUUAGAAUGCGGAAAGAUGGCAAGGGAUUACCUGCGGCGUCCAUGUUCUUGUCGGCGAUGCGGAGUUUGGCGCUCUCCAAGGAAGAGAGAUCGCCGAGCUUGGCCUUGGCUCGAACGCUAGGAGCGCGCUGCACCACCGGGAUUGCCUUGGUGCGCCUGGCCUUGUUGUUAGUUCCCGUCGUCCCUAGCGCUGCCCCCAGCUCACCACCAAGGUCAGAAUUCUCCACCUCCGUCACCACCAUCGCCUGCUUGUUAGCCAGUUUCCUCCCCGCCGUUUUCUUAGGUUGCCUGCCCCCGCUGUUGGAACCCCGACGCGGAGCAGGCGUAAGGUCAGCAGCCUCGAUCACCACGCAACCAGAGUCUGCCCCCACGGCCACUGGAGAGGAAGAGGCUGGAAGAGAGGUAGCAGAGGAGACCCCGCCCGCGCCAGUCAGAGUCGCCGCCACCUGGGUCAGGGCAAGGUUGGUCCCGUACUCGUUGAAGGAAAGCUCCAGCGACCUGGCUAGCGGAGGCCCGCUCACCGCGGUGUCCUGAGUCGCCACCCCCCAUGGCACCAAUCUCAGCCGACAGCGCACCCAGCUUGUCCCAAGUUUCCGUGUCGAUGGAUGUGUCCUGGAUGCUGUCGUCUUGAUCCUCUCCCCUGUCUUGCAUCUUGGUAUCCUGGUUCUCCGCACCACGAGGGCCGCCCUCGCACCCUUGCGGCUCCAUGCCUGGUUCAACCCUGCCAUGUUUUUCAUUGCCCAGCGUCCGAGCGCCCGGAUUCACGUCCUUGGCAGGAGGGUUGGCAGGGCCGGCUCCCAGCACGGCCCGCUCACCACCCCUUUUGGGCAGGGUCUCGCGCUCCACCUUGAUUUGGUAUCCCUCGUGGUUGAACCACACCUCGACGACACCAUUCAGCUUCUCCGGAGCUUUGCAAGCAAGCUUCAUCCGAACAGGCCCCAACCUGAUCAGAGAUAGUUCAUCGACCACAAUUGGCCGGACCAGCAUCCGGAACCCCUCCCUGAUGCGGUCUUCACGCCUAUGCUUCUUUGGGAUGCCAUGGAGCCGCACCCAAGUCUCCGGCAUCACCAUGGGCUGGACCUCCUCGUGUAGCAUGUCGCGCACACGCGCAGUGAUGUCAUUGAUGGACAAAAACAACUUACCACUAGACUUCGCCAUGUGUAACAGAUCUGCAGAAGGAAAGACCACCACGAAGUCGUCAUCACCCACUUGUGUUACCUGCCAAUCCCAGUCUCCUGUCACCAUGUGCUUCAGUUCUUGUUUGAGGAUCCGAAGAUUAAGCUUCCCCGGCUCCGCAGAUAGGAUGGCCGCGUUCUUGAUGCGAGCAUCGAUGGGGGCUUCGGUCUCGUCCGCGUCCUCGAACUCUAGGCAGAAAAAUCCUUCCCCAGAUAUGGCACUUCCCAUGAUUUGAAGGUGAAGCUGCCGGCCCCUCGUCGGACAGUGAGCGGAUGCGUGCCCUUCUUCCUUGCAGAGCACACAAAGGGGCAAGAACUUACACUGGGAUUGGAAGUGGCCGGGGCGCCCGCACUUGAAGCACUCCACGUCCGGUGCCACCUCCACUGGGAUGGGUUCCUCCGCCGUACCCUUAGGUGCAGAGGGCAGCGCCACCGCCAGUGGAUCUGCACGCGGCUUCUUGGCCAUUGGGUCCCCAUGGCCCCCACCACAGUUGGGAUGCGCCUCAUGCUUCCUCUCAAGCUCUCGUCGCCGCUGCUGAACCUUCCUUUUCUUCUUGCGCUCCUGCUGCUGGAUCCACCACGGGGGAGGAGGACCCCAAUCCCCCUCACGCCCGCCAUGGUCACGAGAUCCGCCACGUUCUUCUCUGGCCUCGCGGCCACCCGAACGCUCGCGCAUCACGCGCUUCGCCUUGUCGCGCAGUUCCCGCUCCCUACGCCAUUCCGCCUCCGGAUCUGACACCUCCAUCGGCCGCUUGUUCGCACGCCUAUCCCCCAUCACCACCGCCGCGAAAGAUUGGAGAAGGGGGGAGGAGGGGGGCAGAUCUGGGUCGUGCGGGCGGAGUGAGCGAGGCGCCGCACCUCGCGAGUGGUGGCUGGAAACCCUAAACGGGGAUCCAGGCAACCCCUCCUCACCCACUUAUAGCCAGUGGUCGGGCCAGUGCUGGGCCGAGACGCGUUGGGCCGUUGGGGCACUUGAGGCCGCGGGUCCGAGGCCGUCUCCAGGCCCAGUCCCACUGGAAGGUCAGAAAACGCCCCAGCCUGUCCCCCCAGCCCAGGCCCAGAACCCACAGCCAGCCCCACACCCGACGUCAGCCCAGGGAGGGCCCCCACCAUCGGCCCAACCCUAGGGCUUGGUGCCGAGCGCAUCGUCUCCGGACCGCACGGCGCCACCGCCGCCUCCGCCGCCGCCGCCACAGGGGGCGCCGGCAGGCACGGCCAGUCCUCCCUGGACAACUCCGUCUGCGCCACCAUCAGGCUCGCCGUCGCCUUGGCUCGAAUACACGUCACCGCCCCCGACGAACCGCCAUCACCCGAGCCCGAGCUGCACGCCCGCGACGACAGCCAGAUGCGUGAGGCCAUGGAUCUGGAGCCACGGCCGCCCGGCGCGAAGCAUCUCCCACGCCCCGAGCUCGAAGCCACACCGCUCUGCUUUGCCGCAAAGGCCAAGAAAUCUCCAAUCGACGGCCCUGCAGGCACCGCGCACAGGCCCCGCUCCGGAUCCAGCUCCCCGCCAUCGUCCUCCUCCUCCGAGUCCUCCUCCGCCAGCGCCCAGAAGCGGUUGUGGCGACCGCCGUCCCCCGCUGCAGGUGAGCCGGCGCGGCCCUCCCCGCCGCUCACCUGUAGUUCGCUCGCGCUGCGCCGGACCACAGACCAGCCCGCCGUCCCCUCCGCGGAUGGCUGCCACACCGCAGCAGGCGCGUCGCCCAUGCUGCCGCCUCUCUCUCGCUCCCCACCCACGUUCGUCGCCUCUCUUUUUCCUUUCAUGAGAGGCAUGGUUUUGAUUCCGCAAGAGGCACGGAUUUUCUUUCGCGAGAGGCACGGCCGUGCCUCUCGGAAACAGCUUUCGGAGAGGAAAAAAAAGUGCUCCUUGGUGUGGUUUUUCGUCCCUCUUUUUGUGAAAAAAGUUCAUCAAAACCUAUCGACAUGGUAUCUUGUUUUGAAAAUCUUGACGCGAGAAAUUCAACGGUGAAAAUGGUUCGGGAUUUAAAUAUUUUAUCAACAUGGGGAGGUGAAAGUGAUCUUUGAAAGGAGUACUCCGCAAUUAAAGAUUGACUCAUGGGGAUUCGCUCCCAGGUCAUUUAGAUUGUGCAUGGAGCCGCAAGUCACUGCGUCAUUGUUGACUCCGUGUUUGCAUAGGAGGUGCACAUUACUUGAGGAAAAGACAGGAGUUUUUUAUCUCUUCUUUUUUUCUUCUUUUUUGGUUUCUCUGGUUCUUUGUUCGGUUUUCUUAUUUCUUCUCCGGUUUGUUUCGUCAUUAUACUUCAUUUUUUCUUUUGGUUUCUCUUCAUCUUUUUUCACAGUUUUAGCGUUUUUCUUUUCUUUCUCACUUUCCUUCUUUUAUUCUUCUAUGUUUUUGUUUUUAUUCAUUAUUGAUUUGUUUCUUUGAUUUUAUUUUUCAUUUUCUUUUUUCUUUUAGUUUAUUUUGUUUCCUUUUCGGGUUUCAUUUAUUUGGUUUUCCUAGUUUCUUUUGGUUUUCACUCUAUACUUUUUAUAUGUCAACAACAUUUUUCUAAUACACAUUAAAAUUUUCCAAAUACAAACUGUUUUUUUAUAUAUAAUCAAUAUUUUUCUAUACACAUUUUAAACAGUUUUCAAAUGCUUUAUUACAUUUUUCAAAUACAAUAUGAACAUUUUUUGUAUACAUGGUCAACAUUUUUCCUAUACGCACUUUAAACUUUUUCCAAACACAAGAUUGACAUUUUUCUAAUACAUCGUCACCUUUUUUGUAUGAACAUUUAACAUUUUUAAGUGCUUUAUCAACAUUUUUCAAAUGCAAGAUUACAUUUUUAAUGCAUGGUCUAAAUUUUUUAUAUUACACAUUUAAUAUUUUUCAAAUGCUUGAUAACAUUUUUGAAAUACUUGUUCAAAAUUUUUGAAAUGCUUGAUUAUUAUUUUCAUAUACAUGAUCAAAAGAUUUUAUAUUUUUUAAUACCUGGUCAACAUUUUUUCUAUACACAUUUAACAUUUUUCAAACACUUGAUUAACAUUUUCAAAUACUUGUGUAACAUAUUUUAAAUACACGAUCAAUUUUUUUCACACUCAUUGUAUAUUUUUUGUAUACAAGGUUUUUCCCUAUACACAUUUAACAAUUUUAACAUUGCGAAAAAUAUAUUUUGUAAUAUAUAUGUUUACAAUUUUUGGAAGUGUAAAUAAAAGUAAAAAACAGAAAAAAAAGAAAAAAAAGGUAACAAACAAAAAAAAACA
RNAcentral lists this long non-coding RNA (23176 nucleotides) under Triticum aestivum (bread wheat). RNAcentral's name for it is "long non-coding RNA (TAES_LNC017737)". The stretch from base 2145 to 2270 matches the Rfam family "MIR1120/MIR1122 microRNA precursor family". The record is from RNAcentral. Lineage: Eukaryota; Viridiplantae; Streptophyta; Magnoliopsida; Poales; Poaceae.